AGCAGCCGCGGUAAUUCCAGCUCCAAUAGCGUAUAUUAAAGUUGUUGCAGUUAAAAAGCUCGUAGUUGAAUUUCGGGAUCAAGGAAUCGGUCAUGCCUCGGUAUGUACUGGUUUUAUUGGUUCUCACCUUCUAAAGAACCAUGAUGUCAUUCAUUUGAUGUUAUGGGGAAUUAGGACUGUUACCUUGAAAAAAUUAGAGUGUUUAAAGCAGGCUUACGCUUGAAUACAUUAGCAUGGAAUAAUGAAAUAGGACAUCAGAUUCUAUUUUGUUGGUUUCUAGGAUCGAUGUAAUGAUUAAUAGGGAUAGUUGGGGGCAUUAGUAUUCAAUUGUCAGAGGUGAAAUUCUUGGAUUUAUUGAAGACUAACUACUGCGAAAGCAUUUGCCAAGGAUGUUUUCAUUAAUCAAGAACGAAAGUUAGGGGAUCGAAGACGAUCAGAUACCGUCGUAGUCUUAACCAUAAACUAUGCCGACUAGGGAUCGGAUGAUGUUAAUUUUAUAAUGACUCAUUCGGCACCUUACG
RNAcentral lists this ribosomal RNA (521 nucleotides) under uncultured Glomeraceae. RNAcentral's name for it is "SSU rRNA". It matches the Rfam family "Eukaryotic small subunit ribosomal RNA", at positions 569 to 1092 of the family's 1831-position model. Lineage: Eukaryota; Fungi; Glomeromycota; Glomeromycetes; Glomerales; Glomeraceae. The record is from RNAcentral.